UACAGAGGGUGCAAGCGUUAAUCGGAUUUACUGGGCGUAAAGGGUGUGUAGGUGGUUUGACAAGUCGGUUGUGAAAUCCCUGGGCUCAACCUGGGAACUGCUUCCGAGACUGUCAGACUAGAGUACGGUAGAGGGCGGUGGAAUUUCCGGUGUAGCGGUGAAAUGCGCAGAUAUCAGGAGGAACACCAAUUGCGAAGGCAGCUCGCUGGGACGUUACUGACGCUGAGACGCGAAAGCGUGGGGAGCAAACAGG
Molecule: ribosomal RNA, 253 nt
Filed under: uncultured bacterium
Lineage: Bacteria
Description: partial 16S ribosomal RNA
Rfam family: Bacterial small subunit ribosomal RNA
Source: RNAcentral